This is a non-coding RNA of Elaeis guineensis (African oil palm), 3018 nucleotides long. Lineage: Eukaryota; Viridiplantae; Streptophyta; Magnoliopsida; Arecales; Arecaceae. The record is from RefSeq and is a predicted model, not a curated record.
UUUUCUUUUGCCCACUGUUCAAAUCUCUCUCUCUCUCUCGGCGUUCUGAGCUAGCAAGGGUUCUCCGAUGGCGAUGCUCACUUCCAAUCUCCUCGACCCGGUGAACUCGGGGCACCGGUUCGACGAGGCGGCGCUGCUCCGCUACGCUGCGGCCAACGUGGAGGGCUUCCCGCCGCCGCCGGUGGACCUGACCGUCUUGCAGUUCGGCCACGGCCAAUCCAACCCCACCUUCUGCUUGGAAGCCGUUUCCCGAGUCUUCCCUGGGGCUGUCAAGCGCUACGUCUUAAGAAAGAAACCCCCCGGUGUUCUCCUCGAGUCCGCUCAUGCUGUUGAGAGGGAGUUCCAGGUUCUCAAGGCAUUAGGUGUUCAUACAGAUGUUCCAGUUCCUAAGGUUUUUUGUCUGUGCACUGAUACGAGCAUACUCGGAACAUCUUUCUAUAUAAUGGAGUAUUUGGAGGGACGGAUGUUUCUAGAUAAUAAGCUACCAGGAAUUAUCCCUGAAAGGAGGAAGGCAAUAUAUCAAGCAACUGCGAGAGCUCUAGCUUCUCUACACAAAGUUAAUGUGGAUUCCAUUGGGCUACAAAAAUUUGGGAGGAGGGAAAACUACUGCAAGAGACAGGUAGAAAGGUGGGAGAAGCAAUAUCUCGCUUCAACUGGUGAAGGAAAACCUGAUCAAAAUCCUAAGAUGCUAGAUCUGGCUAGUUGGCUGAAGCAACAUAUUCCACAGGAAGAUUCCUCAGCAGCAUCAGGCACUGGUCUUGUUCAUGGGGACUUUCGGAUUGAUAACCUAGUCUUUCAUCCUGUUGAGGAUCGAGUUAUUGGUAUUCUUGAUUGGGAACUAUCAACUUUGGGGAACCAAAUGUGUGAUGUUGCAUACAGCAGCUUGCCUUAUAUUGUGGACGUGAUGCUAGUUGAUAGAGAAUCAUAUGGAGGAUUUGAAUUUAAUGGUACUCCAGAAGGCAUUCCUUCUUUAGCAGAAUACCUGGCUGUAUACUGCUCUGCUUCAGGAAAACCUUGGCCAGCUGCAGGCUGGAAAUUCUAUGUUGCCUUUUCUUUGUUCCGAGGGGCAUCCAUUUAUGCAGGAGUAUAUCACAGAUGGACUUUGGGUAAUGCUUCUGGUGGUGAGCGUGCUCGAUAUGCUGGAAACGUAGCUAAUGUUUUGAUUGAUUAUGCCUGGGCAUUUAUUAAUAAAAAAUCUGUGCUUCCUCUUCAGCCCCCACAAGGUAUUCUGGAUUCAGAAGUUUCUUGGAAAAAGUUGGAUAAAGAGAAAGAAGAUUCAUACCCUGCAAAGGAACAGGGCAAAUUUGUACCUAGUCAAAAGGUUUUGGAACUUCGUAAUAAAUUACUAAUGUUUAUGGAAAAUCAUAUUUACCCAAUGGAAAGCGAGUUUUAUGAACUUGCACAAUCAACUGCACGCUGGACAAUUCAUCCACAAGAAGAGAAAUUAAAAGAGUUAGCAAAGAGAGAAGGCCUGUGGAACUUGUGGAUCCCUUUGGACAGUGCUGCUAGAGCAAGGAAACUGCUUUUUGAUGGAGAAGAUCAUGCUUCUGCAGGAUACUGGAAUGAUCAUUUGCUAGGUGCAGGGCUUUCGAACCUUGAGUAUGGAUAUUUGUGUGAGAUAAUGGGCCGUUCUGUUUGGGCACCACAAAUUUUUAAUUGUGGUGCGCCGGACACUGGUAAUAUGGAGGUUUUGUUGAGAUAUGGAACUAAGGAACAACUUAAAGAGUGGCUUAUUCCUUUACUAGAAGGAAAAAUUCGGUCUGGAUUUGCAAUGACGGAGCCACAAGUUGCAUCUUCUGAUGCAACCAACAUUGAAUGCUCGAUUACUAGACAGGGAGAUUUUUAUGUCAUUAACGGAAAGAAGUGGUGGACAAGUGGAGCAAUGGACCCUAGAUGCAAAAUUCUUGUAGUUAUGGGAAAAACAGAUUUCACUGCUGCUAAGCAUAAACAACAGUCAAUGAUUUUAGUAGACAUCAAUACUCCUGGUGUGCAGAUAAAUAGACCAUUAUUGGUCUUUGGUUUUGAUGAUGCACCUCAUGGUCAUGCAGAAAUAACUUUCGAAAAUGUGCGUGUGCCAGUAGAAAAUAUCCUGCUUGGAGAAGGACGAGGGUUUGAGAUAGCUCAAGGUAGGCUGGGUCCUGGAAGAUUACAUCAUUGCAUGAGACUGAUAGGAGCAGCAGAACGUGGCAUGCAAAUGAUGGCUGAAAGGGCUCUUAGAAGGAAAGUUUUUGGAAAGUUGAUUGCACAGCAAGGUUCCUUUUUGUCUAGUAUUGCCAAGGGCUGCAGAUUGUCUCUGCAUAUACUUGUAUCAUCUCAUGUCGAAUCGAACUGGAGCAGGCAAGGCUCUUAGUUCUGGAAGCAGCUGAUCAGCUCGACCGGCUUGGGAACAAAAAGGCCCGUGGAACCAUCGCUAUGGCUAAGGUAGCAGCACCAAAUAUGGCUUUGAAGGUGCUCGACAUGGCAAUGCAAGUUCAUGGUGCCGCUGGUUUAUCAUCGGACACUGUUUUGUCUCACUUAUGGGCAACCGCACGGACUUUAAGAAUUGCAGAUGGCCCCGAUGAAGUCCAUCUAGGAACCAUAGGUAAGCUAGAACUGCAAAGAGCCAGGCUAUAAAACUCUAUGUUGUGAAGACCUUGACCUUGAUGGAUGCCUUCGAAGGUACCCAGUUCUCAAAGAUACAGGGUAUUCAAUAAAACCAAAAUAAAACAGUCCAGAGGCAGGAAGCAGUGAGGACUUGAAAGGUUGGGGAGCGCAUAAGGUAACUGGUGAUUCAUUAUACUUAUGAUUGCGAAGGUGGAUGUUUUCUUAAAGCUGGCAUGGAUUUGGAUGUGAACAUAGAUUCAUUGCUUGAAAUGAACUGGAAAUCUCUAUUGGAAAACCAUGUUAUACCAAAUUUUAUAGCUGGAGCAUUUUUUUCGCCUUUAGUUGGUAUUCUUGAAUUACUUCCAGGCCUGAAUUUGUGCUGGCCGUGACAAGAUUUAGAUAGAACUACAAAAAGGCUUAGCCAACUUUGAUGCU